Molecule: transfer RNA, 75 nt
Filed under: Hyphomicrobiales bacterium
Lineage: Bacteria; Pseudomonadati; Pseudomonadota; Alphaproteobacteria; Hyphomicrobiales
Description: tRNA-Val
Rfam family: tRNA
About the family: Transfer RNA (tRNA) molecules are approximately 80 nucleotides in length. Their secondary structure includes four short double-helical elements and three loops (D, anti-codon, and T loops). Further hydrogen bonds mediate the characteristic L-shaped molecular structure. tRNAs have two regions of fundamental functional importance: the anti-codon, which is responsible for specific mRNA codon recognition, and the 3' end, to which the tRNAs corresponding amino acid is attached (by aminoacyl-tRNA synthetases). tRNAs cope with the degeneracy of the genetic code in two manners: having more than one tRNA (with a specific anti-codon) for a particular amino acid; and 'wobble' base-pairing, i.e. permitting non-standard base-pairing at the 3rd anti-codon position.
Source: RNAcentral
GGGCGCGUAGCUCAGCGGGAGAGCACUCACUUCACACGGGAGGGGUCACAGGUUCAAUCCCUGUCGCGCCCACCA